UACGGGGGGGGCAAGCGUUGUUCGGAAUUACUGGGCGUAAAGGGCUCGUAGGUGGCCAACUAAGUCAGACGUGAAAUCCCCAAGCUUAACUUGGGAACUGCGUCGGAUACUGGAUGGCUUGAAUUCGGCAGAGGGAUGCAGAAUUCCAGGUGUAGCGGUGAAAUGCGUAGAUAUCUGGAGGAAUACCGGUGGCGAAGGCGGCAUCCUGGACCGACAUUGACGCUGAGGAGCGAAAGCUAGGGGAGCAAACGGG
Molecule: ribosomal RNA, 253 nt
Filed under: uncultured bacterium
Lineage: Bacteria
Description: partial 16S ribosomal RNA
Rfam family: Bacterial small subunit ribosomal RNA
Source: RNAcentral